CAGCCGCCGCGGUAAUACGGAGGGUGCAAGCGUUGUCCGGAUUUAUUGGGUUUAAAGGGUGCGCAGGCGGCUAUUUAAGUCAGCGGUGAAAGACUCCGGCUCAACCGGAGCAGUGCCAUUGAUACUGGAUAGCUUGAGUGUUGGAGGGGUACAUGGAAUUGAUGGUGUAGCGGUGAAAUGCAUAGAUACCAUCAGGAACACCGAUAGCGAAGGCAUUGUACUGGCCAACAACUGACGCUGAGGCACGAAAGCAUGGGGAGCGAACAGGAUUAGAUACCCCGGUAGUCCCUGUCUCUUAUAC
RNAcentral lists this ribosomal RNA (301 nucleotides) under uncultured bacterium. RNAcentral's name for it is "partial 16S ribosomal RNA". It matches the Rfam family "Bacterial small subunit ribosomal RNA", at positions 509 to 807 of the family's 1533-position model. The record is from RNAcentral.